RNAcentral lists this ribosomal RNA (468 nucleotides) under uncultured bacterium. RNAcentral's name for it is "partial 16S ribosomal RNA". It matches the Rfam family "Bacterial small subunit ribosomal RNA", at positions 28 to 507 of the family's 1533-position model. The record is from RNAcentral.
GACGAACGCUGGCGGCGUGCUUAACACAUGCAAGUCGAACGGAAAGGCCCUGCUUUUGUGGGUUGCUCGAGUGGCGAACGGGUGAGUAACACGUGAGUAACCUGCCCUUGACUUUGGGAUAACUUCAGGAAACUGGGGCUAAUACCGGAUAGGAGCUCCUGCUGCAUGGUGGGGGUUGGAAAGUUUCGGCGGUUGGGGAUGGACUCGCGGCUUAUCAGCUUGUUGGUGGGGUAGUGGCUUACCAAGGCUUUGACGGGUAGCCGGCCUGAGAGGGUGACCGGCCACAUUGGGACUGGGAUACGGCCCAGACUCCUACGGGAGGCAGCAGUGGGGAAUAUUGCACACUGGGCGGAAGCCUGAUGCAGCAACGCCGCGUGCGGGAUGUCGGCCUUCGGGUUGUAAACCGCUUUCGCCUGUGACGAAGCGUGAGUGACGGUAAUGGGUAAAGAAGCACCGGCUAACUACGUG